Molecule: long non-coding RNA, 2067 nt
Organism: Ictalurus punctatus (channel catfish)
Lineage: Eukaryota; Metazoa; Chordata; Actinopteri; Siluriformes; Ictaluridae
Source: Ensembl
CAUGCCAAUCAGCCUACCAUGCACGUCUUUGGACUGGGGGAGGAAACCCCUGCAGCACGGGGAGAACAUGCAAACUCCGCACACACAGGGGCAUGGUGGGAAUCGAACCCUCAACCCUGGAGCAUUUAACCGACCCCUCAGAACAAUAACAACCAGAAUGCUACAGCACAACAACAACAAUAACUACCCUUGCCUGGACGUGGCUCAUAGAGAGCUGCUCCAUGGUUGCAGGCGAAAUGGUACUACGUUCAGCAGUGCCCUCGGAUUUGGUGCAAUCCCACUAAUUAAAGGUCUUAGGGCUUGGGCAGUAAGUGGAGGAUAUUCAAGAAGUAAGAGAAAAGCUGCAGCUACUUCUCAAGCAUCUGACACAGCUCAUGAGAGCAGAAUUGGGACCAACCAUAGGAAGACACAUUCAUUUCAUACACCUGGGGUCAGGCAAGGAGGACUUGGUGCCCUAGUGACUGUGGCCACAUUGAAGGACUCAGAUGGAGGCAGGCAAACCCAGACUCGAUGCCUCUUUCUCAAAGCCGAAGGAUGUAAUUACCUCUGUGCUAUGGGGACCAGAGUGGAUGGAAGAAAAUCUGGAAAAGGGAGUCAGGGUGUGGGAAUUUGUGAUGGCAAACCUGUCAGAAAGUGGAGAAAGUCUAGCAAGAGACCUAAAUCCAUGGAGAACAUCUCAGUAGUCGAGAAUAAAGAGCGGGAGGCCUCUACAAAACUGGAGCUUUUGGACAAAUGUUCCAUAACACAGUGCCUACAGGCAAAAAGUGCCCUGACAGCGAUUAACAAUGAUGAAGAUCAUCUAAGAUUCAUAAGGUCAGAGUUUUCUACUCUGCAUGAGUUGUGUGAACCAGCCAUGUGCAGCCUCUCUACCAAAUAUGAUUCUAGUACAGAAGUGAAGGAAGACACAACACUAACCUCUUGCCCUAAACUCAGUGGUUGUGAGAUUUUUGUGGGACAAGACACACCCAUUUCUACCAGUGACUGUACCGAUAAGACCACAGAAAUCAGUAAACAUGAAAGUGAUCUUACAGCUGAUGUGAAUCUGAAUUAUGUUUUGAAAUCCAAGGAAAUUGCUAUGCCAAACUCUGAAGAGCAUUGUCCAGGAUCUAGAGUAGUUAUGCAUAACAAAAAUGGAAUCUCAUCCACCAUUAGCCAUAGCCACUGCAACACCACAGACACCAUUAAAUAUGACAUUGAAAUUUUAGCAGAUAGAAAUCUGAAUAAAUCCAAUGAAUUUGCUUUGGUGAAAUUUAAACAGCAUGGUCUACAGUCUGAAGUACUUUCAGAGGACACCAGUAAGACAAAUGGAACUUCGUUAACCAUUAGUCACAGCCACUUUGAGGAGACUAUCAUAACCCCUGCAUCCAGCAUCCAUUCAGAUGAUACUUUAUUAACGAUUAUGCAAGUGGAACAGGAGAUAAAGAAGAGAACAGUUGACAGUUCCUUUAAUCAUGAUAUGGAGAAGAUUGUCCAUUUUGGUGAAAUGAAGAAAGACAUGGAUAGUGCCUCCAAUCAGUAUGUGGGUCACUUAAGUGAACAAGCAGAGGAGCACUGGAGGUCACCUGCGUGUUCUUCUCAUCAUAAGGAGGAAAUAAUCAUGGAAGAAAAUAUUACAUUUGAGGAUGGAAAAAAAUUAAACUCCACAAAUGAGACUUUUGAAGAGCUUGCUAAUUCUUUAUCACAAGGUUCUGGCUCUUUCAAUGUUGCUAAUGCUAUUACAUCCCUGCCUAAUCCGGCCCCCACCACAAACACAGCUGCCCUCAGAUCCAUAAGUAGGCAGCAACAGGAGGGGACCAAGGGUAGGAGAUUAGCACUAAAACCAGCAUUGGAGCUGUUAGAAAAGCAGGAGAGAGACCAGGAAGUGGACAAAGUGGCUGACGAUGGGCCUGAUGUGGUGGAUGAGGAAGAUGGGGAUGAGUUUGGAGUCUUUAUGAAGGCAGGAGAUGAGCAGGUCUGGAAUGAAGGAUUCAACAAACUCAAAAAAGUGCCUUGUGAGAAGCAUGCUGGCAUUGGUGAGUGAGUAUAACAAAUUUAUUGUAGGCUAGCUCCUGUAGUGUUCAUUACUUG